RNAcentral lists this ribosomal RNA (332 nucleotides) under uncultured soil bacterium. RNAcentral describes it as "bacterial SSU rRNA". It matches the Rfam family "Bacterial small subunit ribosomal RNA", at positions 26 to 363 of the family's 1533-position model. The record is from RNAcentral.
AGGACGAACGCUGGCGGCGUGCUUAACACAUGCAAGUCGAGCGGAAAGGCCUUUCGGGGUACUCGAGCGGCGAACGGGUGAGUAACACGUGAGUAAUCUGCCCAUCGCUUCAGGAUAGCCAUCGGAAACGGUGAUUAAUACUGGAUAUGACAUUCCUUCGCAUGUUGGGGUGUGGAAAGUUUUUUCGGCGGUGGAUGUGCUCGCGGCCUAUCAGCUUGUUGGUGGGGUAAUGGCCUACCAAGGCUUUGACGGGUAGCCGGCCUGAGAGGGUGACCGGCCACACUGGGACUGAGACACGGCCCAGACUCCUACGGGAGCAGCAGUGGGGAAUA